RNAcentral lists this long non-coding RNA (405 nucleotides) under Oryza sativa Indica Group (long-grained rice). RNAcentral's name for it is "lncRNA OsMH63_04G029380". The record is from RNAcentral. Lineage: Eukaryota; Viridiplantae; Streptophyta; Magnoliopsida; Poales; Poaceae.
GCGCUUCUCCUGUGCCGUGGCAGCGGUAGUGGUGGCGGCGGCAGUGUCGCCGGCCUGAUCCCAUGGUCCUCCCGGACACCCAGCUCGCGCAGCUGCAGCAGGAGCGUGUCCACACUCGGCGUGUCGUCGGCGUCGUGGACGGUGGUCGGCGCGGGCGCGGUGACCCUCGCCGUCUUCGCCGACUUCGCGGUAGCACUUGACGUCGUAGCUCAUACGCAUAUACGCUGGGUACAGACGGCCGCAUCGGAGGAGUGCGGAUGCGGGGGGUGCAACGGAAGGCGAGUGCGGCGGCGGGCGAGCGCGGCGGUGGGCAAAGCAGCGGAAGGCGAGCUAGGCGAAGCGGAAGACAGUGGAUGGGACGAGGAGCUCCCCCGUGCUCGACCGCCACCACCGCCGUGCCCCCGC